UUUAUUUUCGAAAUCAUCCUGGAACAAGAUAAAGAAAAAAGAAAUGAAAAGGUUAGCGUUGUUUGUAAGUUUUGUGAGUAUAGUUCCACUGUGUUGUUCAUUAGAAAGACUAAGUUCUCCAAAGCACUAUCUUAAAAAUCACAACGUUAUACGUGAACAUGUUGGGUCUCCAGCGCUGAAGUGGGACCGACAACUAGAAAAACAUGCUCGCAAUUUCGUGAACGCACACAGUAUGGACUGCUUAGCAAGAAAACCUUCAAUUAGCAGCGGCAUAGGUUGGAACAUUGCACGUAAUUGGGGCAAUGACACUUUUGUAGGAGCACAUGCUGUGGUCAAAUGGGCCCUUCAGGAAGGAAACUACGACCAUGUAACUAACUCAUGUGUUGGUGGUGAAUGCCAUGCCUAUACUCAACUUGUUUGGAAGCGAUCUACUCAUUUAGGCUGCGCUGGAGUCACGUGCCACAAUUUUUCAGGCAUUCUCAUUAGAUGUAACUAUGAACCUCCCGGCGAGCAUGACACGCACAGAUGCAAAUGAUCUAGACAUCAAUUGCCUGAAUGCGACAUGACACAUCGCAGAAGCAACCGACUUCAAGAGGCCUCGGUUGCUUCUCCUUAGGCAAAUGAGUCAUACACUUGUCCUUCGGACGCCAUUGUCGCCUAUUUGAGGGAGGUUGACUUCGGUGACAUGGUGCCUCUCAGGGAUUUCAUAUUUGACAACUCCCUGAUCACUGCAUUCUGGCGUCUCGAGACGCCCACUUUUCAUCUGCAAUGGGGUGAGUGCACCAUCACUCUACAGAACGUCACAUACCACCUCAGAUUACGGGCGCAUGCAUGGAGAGCCAGUAGAUGGGUGUUUCCGUGAUUUCCACACAUGGUAUGGGAUGGAGACCUGGGCGUUGGUGGAGCGCUUACUUGGUGCCAGGCCUCUUGUGGUACAGCAGCAGCGAGCGCAGAGGAAGGAGAAUUUCUCCCUCAAGCUAACAUGGCUUGGGGACUAACUCUGGCAGAUGCCCGCUACGGAUGAUCUAGCCACCCUCCAACAGUACAUUAGGUGCUGCAUUAUGUUGUUAAUUGGGGGUUAUCUGAUGACUGACAAGUCAAACAAUCAGAUCCAUCUCCGGUGGCUACCACUCCUUGAUGACUUUUCGUAAAUAAUUCCGUAAAUACUCCUCUUCUUUCUUCUUUCUUUUUAUUUUCCUUUCAUAACCACCACUUUUACUACUCCACAACCCCUAAUUUUUCUUUUUAUCAAUCAAAAUGCCAAUCUUGAAAUAAUUCCUAAAUCGAGACUAACAAGACAAAACAAAACAAAAACAAAGCACAAUGAAACAAACGCUGACAUUUUUUAGCGUUGAAGAACAUAAAAGCCUUAUGAAGCUCAAGGGUAUAAUUAUCAGGAGGAGGAUGCUUAUGGUGAUGACGUGGCAUAGCUUUGACGAUGAGAGUAACGAAGCCAACAAGAAAGAUAGAAAACAAGUGACUUCUGACGGUCCAAAUGAAGAUCUUGCACGCUUGCGGCUAACAAUGAUGCAACCGAGAUUGACGUACUUCUUCUGCUCGCUAGGGCCGAGGUGCCAGCUCUGCUAAGUCUCGUCGAGUGGACGCAAAAGCGCCGCUCUAUCAAGGUCUGUAGGUUGCGGGUGCGGUCAUCGUCAGUGGUGGAGUCAGUGGCAUUGAUCUCCAGCGGACCUCCCCAGGAGUCCCUACCGUACAUACUCAUGUUGGUGGCAUAAUGCUACUCCCACCGACACUUUUUGUGUGAAGUAGUGAAAAUAUGAAUGAAUGAAUGAAUGAAUGAAUGAAGAGAGAGUGUUAUGAGUAAUGAGAGUUAGUGUGAGACAAUAAGAGUGAGAGUGAGAGAUAGAACAACUUAACUACUAACGCUCUUUUCUCUCUCUUCUCCUUUGUUUUGCCUUCCUUGUCUCGAUUUGGACAUUAUUUUGAGGAAGAAUCUUGGGUGUUUGGAGGUUGGAUUCAAGAUCGAUCACUUGAGGUUUUGAAUCGAAU
Long non-coding RNA from Arachis stenosperma, 2007 nucleotides. RefSeq lists it as uncharacterized. Lineage: Eukaryota; Viridiplantae; Streptophyta; Magnoliopsida; Fabales; Fabaceae. The transcript has 3 exons. The record is from RefSeq and is a predicted model, not a curated record.